RNAcentral lists this ribosomal RNA (279 nucleotides) under uncultured bacterium. RNAcentral describes it as "partial 16S ribosomal RNA". It matches the Rfam family "Bacterial small subunit ribosomal RNA", at positions 506 to 784 of the family's 1533-position model. The record is from RNAcentral.
UGCCAGCAGCCGCGGUAACACGAACUGUGCGAACGUUAUUCGGAAUUACUGGGCGUAAAGCGCACGUAGGCUGACUGGUCAGUUGGGGGUGAAAUCCCGGGGCUCAACCUCGGAACUGCCUUCAAUACUGCCAGUCUUGAGUCCGAGAGAGGUGAGUGGAAUUCCUAGUGUAGAGGUGAAAUUCGUAGAUAUUAGGAAGAACACCAGUGGCGAAGGCGGCUCACUGGCUCGGUACUGACGCUGAGGUGCGAAAGCGUGGGGAGCAAACAGGAUUAGAUA